Molecule: transfer RNA, 72 nt
Filed under: Anabaena cylindrica PCC 7122
Lineage: Bacteria; Bacillati; Cyanobacteriota; Cyanophyceae; Nostocales; Nostocaceae
Rfam family: tRNA
About the family: Transfer RNA (tRNA) molecules are approximately 80 nucleotides in length. Their secondary structure includes four short double-helical elements and three loops (D, anti-codon, and T loops).
Source: Rfam by way of RNAcentral
GGGCGUUUGGCAGAACGGUUAUGCGCCUGACUUUUAAUCAGGUUAAAACAGGUUCAACUCCUGUAGCGCCCA